UACGUAGGGUGCGAGCGUUGUCCGGAAUUACUGGGCGUAAAGAGCUCGUAGGUGGGUUUGUCGCGUUGUUCGUGAAAACCGGGGGCUUAACCCUCGGCGUGCGGGCGAUACGGGCAGACUGAGUACUGCAGGGGAGACUGGAAUUCCUGGUGUAGCGGUGGAAUGACGCAGAUAUCAGGAGGAACACCGGUGGCGAAGGCGGGUCUCUGGGCAAUAACUGACGCUGAGGAGCGAAAGCGUGGGGAGCGAACAGG
This 254-nucleotide ribosomal RNA is filed under the name uncultured bacterium. RNAcentral describes it as "partial 16S ribosomal RNA". It matches the Rfam family "Bacterial small subunit ribosomal RNA", at positions 524 to 776 of the family's 1533-position model. The record is from RNAcentral.